Molecule: non-coding RNA, 1535 nt
Organism: Nylanderia fulva
Lineage: Eukaryota; Metazoa; Arthropoda; Insecta; Hymenoptera; Formicidae
Source: RefSeq, a predicted model, not a curated record
UAAGCAGUUAAAGGUAUUGACUGGUGCAGUGUACCACCCGCUCGCUAAUCCCGCUCGCCAUCGUGCCGAAGAUAGUCGAAUAGAUAUAUACGGUGAACAGCGGAAACGGCCGAGCAAGCCAAGCGAGAUGGCGGCUCCUCGGUCUAUACCUAACACGCGCUAUCAGACCUUCCACCUCGCUCUCCCCUCCCCCUCCCGCCCACACGAGUACUGGCUCCGAGCGGCGUCGUUCGUCGGAAUCCGACCAAUAAACGUGCGCCCGCGCCAGUGAUAGUGCAGCAGUGGUGUCGCCUCCACUUGGCGUAGUCACGUCACAACUUGUUCGGCUAUCGAACUGCGUGUUUUCAAUUCGUUUUCGGAGUCGAGUGACGUACGUACGGCGAGUUUAGAAAUUUUGCGUGCGCGUGUCGUCGUCGGCUACAUUUAAUACGCGCGCGCGCGCACAUACGCAUACACGGUACAAUUGUCUCUCGCGAAUGAUAUCUCUCUUUUUCUUCCCUUACGUGUAUGGUAUAUAAUCGCGUGUGCUGACUUGCGCGCGCGCGCGCGUGUUUCCCGGUGUGAAAUAAGUGACCGUUCCGGGAGUAAAAAGAGAUAGAGGAGAACGAUGGCAGGAGCCGUGCAAUUUUCGUGGAUAUUCGCGGUCGCAGUACUUCUGGUUUUGACCGUAGGAGUGAAGUGCAAGAGAAAAUUCGACGGGGACUUCGAGUUUGCCGAAGAGUGAGGAAAAUAUUGGCGCCAGGAGAGAAGGAAUGGGCUAAGAGACGAACUGGAAGCGGGCGUAAUCAGGAUGACACUGCUAGAUAGUAAAAUAUUGGCCAGGCUGGCGGACGCCAAUAAACGAAUUUUUCAUCGAACGUUUUCGCUUUGAUGGCAACUGACGACAAUAAAGCGACACUACUACUAUCGCUUCGGUUUACAUUAGGUCUCCACAUUUUGCUUCCUCUUUUUUCUUCUCUCUCUCUCUCUCCAUCUUUUUCUUUUCUUUUUUCUAGUUCUUUUUCCCCACUCGGUCAAGUCUUCAAAUUUUUUUCUCUUGUUCGCAUUCCAUAUUUCUUAAUUGCUAUCUGAAUCCCAGCGAAUCUGAUCGAUGAUACGUGUUUCAGUUUUUCUUUGCUAUUAUUAUUCUAUAUCAGUGUAUUUUUCUAUUGCUUCUUUUAAGAGUGAUUUUAUUUUAAUGGAUUGAAUUUAAUAGAUGUGAGUAGAUAAAUGCGUUUUUUCGGUCUCUAUUUAGAAAAAAAUUAUUUUAAGAAUUUUUAAUUUUUUUGUAAACUAAUAAACACACAUCUUUUGAUCAUCAUACAUUUUAUUAUUUGCUCGUUAAGUAGGCCUUAUUAUACCCUUUUUAUUAUGUUUUGCAAUACACGAGCUAAGAAAAUAUCUCCUAAUUUAUUAUUACGAUUUAGAUUACGCAGGCCUUAUAAUGCGUCGAAGUAAUUUUAACAAAGAAUACUACUCAUACAACUAUAAUUUUACUUUUGUAUUCCAAACGUGUAAUUUUUUUGUAAACUAAUAAACCACACAUCUUUUGAUCA